ACAGAGGGGGCAAGCGUUAUUCGGAAUUAUUGGGCGUAAAGGGCGCGUAGGCGGCUGCGCAAGUCUCGGGUGAAAUCCCUCGGCUCAACCGAGGAACUGCCCUGGAAACUGCGCGGCUCGAGGCCGGGAGAGGAUGGUGGAAUUCCCAGUGUAGCGGUGAAAUGCGUAGAUAUUGGGAGGAACACCGGUGGCGAAGGCGGCCAUCUGGACCGGUCCUGACGCUGAGGCGCGAAAGCGUGGGGAGCAAACAGGA
Molecule: ribosomal RNA, 253 nt
Filed under: uncultured prokaryote
Description: partial 16S ribosomal RNA
Rfam family: Bacterial small subunit ribosomal RNA
Source: RNAcentral